Molecule: long non-coding RNA, 330 nt
Filed under: Lathyrus oleraceus (garden pea)
Lineage: Eukaryota; Viridiplantae; Streptophyta; Magnoliopsida; Fabales; Fabaceae
Description: Pisum sativum (pea) long non-coding RNA (PSAT_LNC041400)
Source: RNAcentral
UCAUCAUUCACACAAUUCAAUCAAAUUUCAUGGGUUUAACAACAACAUUUUCAUCAUUCACACAAUUCAAUCAAAUUUCAUGGGUUUAACAACAACAUUUUCAUCAUUCACACAAUUGAAUCAAAUUUCAUAGGUUUAACAUCAACAUUUUCAUUAUUCACACAAUUCAAUCAAAUUUCAUGGGUUUAAUAACAACAUUUUCAUAAUUCAAUCAAUUCAAUCAAAUUUCAUAGGUUUAACAACAACAUCUUCAUCAUUCACACAAUUCAAUCAAAUAUCAUGGGUUUAACAACAAGCCUUUCAUCAUUCACACAAUUUAAUCUAAUUUCA